AUCUCGUUAGAAAAUGCACGCGAGAAAAACUCGCCUGUGCGGGCAUCGCACGCUGCGUGCGAGUGUGUGCACGCGGCCAACACUAGACGCGGAAACAGUGUGCACGUCCCAUCUGCAUGAGGCACAAGUUUGGUCUGCGUGCGCGUCUAAUCACUCGUAGACUAACGUGGCAUCGUGCGCCAUGUCUACAUGUCGUCUGCGCAGUAGGCCUGCACGAUAGGCCUGCGCAUAGCGCCCUGCGCACAGUGCCCUAUGCAAUAUAGGCCCUGUGCACGUGCAGGCUAGCCUGCGAGCAUGUGCGUGCGCAUGGCCAACACUGGACGGGCACACUGUGUGCACAU
RNAcentral lists this long non-coding RNA (341 nucleotides) under Carica papaya (papaya). RNAcentral describes it as "long non-coding RNA (CPAP_LNC009600)". The record is from RNAcentral. Lineage: Eukaryota; Viridiplantae; Streptophyta; Magnoliopsida; Brassicales; Caricaceae.